Molecule: unclassified non-coding RNA, 407 nt
Filed under: Bombus terrestris (buff-tailed bumblebee)
Lineage: Eukaryota; Metazoa; Arthropoda; Insecta; Hymenoptera; Apidae
Description: misc RNA ENSBTSG00005024120.1
Source: RNAcentral
CUGAAUCCUUUACAUUUCAGAGACAAAUAAACGAUUGACCGGCGACAGACCUCGCAAAGAAAGGACUGCAUUUACAAAACAUCAAAUUCGCCACCUUGAAUAUGAAUUUGCGCAUAGUAAUUAUCUGACACGUUUACGUCGCUAUGAAAUAGCAGUUGCUCUCGAUCUAACAGAACGUCAGGUAAAGGUAUGGUUUCAAAAUAGACGUAUGAAGUGGAAGAGAACAAAAGCGGGAUUAGGAAGUGUAUCAGAAAAAUUUUGAUGAUCCCUGAUAAUUACUUCUUUAAUUUUAAACAUCUUAUACAAUGUCCAAUGUAAAUAGUAAAUUAAGUAAAAUCAUGUAAUCAAAAAAGUGUUCAAUAUCUCUAUAGUACUUAAUUAUAACAUUUGUACAUUAUUGUGUUUAA